This 484-nucleotide unclassified non-coding RNA is filed under the name uncultured Glomus. RNAcentral describes it as "SSU rRNA". It matches the Rfam family "Eukaryotic small subunit ribosomal RNA", at positions 569 to 1058 of the family's 1831-position model. Lineage: Eukaryota; Fungi; Glomeromycota; Glomeromycetes; Glomerales; Glomeraceae. The record is from RNAcentral.
AGCAGCCGCGGUAAUUCCAGCUCCAAUAGCGUAUAUUAAAGUUGUUGCAGUUAAAAAGCUCGUAGUUGAAUUUCGGGGUUAGCAGGUCGGUCGUGCCAUUGGUAUGAACUGGUCUCGCUGAUCCCUCCCUCUUGACGAACUGUGAUGCCAUUAAUUUGGUGUCGCAGGGAAUCAGGACUGUUACUUUGAAAAAUUAGAGUGUUUAAAGCAGGCUCACGCUUGAAUACAUUAGCAUGGAAUAAUGAAAUAGGACGUUUGAUCCUAUUUUGUUGGCUUCUAGGAUUGACGUAAUGAUUAAUAGGGAUAGUUGGGGGCAUUAGUAUUCAAUUGUCAGAGGUGAAAUUCUUGGAUUUAUUGAAGACUAACUACUGCGAAAGCAUUUGCCAAGGAUGUUUUCAUUAAUCAAGAACGAAAGUUAGGGGAUCGAAGACGAUCAGAUACCGUCGUAGUCUUAACCAUAAACUAUGCCGACUAGGGAUCGGAU